AGAGUUUGAUCAUGGCUCAGAUUGAACGCUGGCGGCAGGCCUAACACAUGCAAGUCGAGCGGAUGACGGGAGCUUGCUCCUGGAUUCAGCGGCGGACGGGUGAGUAAUGCCUAGGAAUCUGCCUGGUAGUGGGGGACAACGUUUCGAAAGGAACGCUAAUACCGCAUACGUCCUACGGGAGAAAGCAGGGGACCUUCGGGCCUUGCGCUAUCAGAUGAGCCUAGGUCGGAUUAGCUUGUUGGUGAGGUAAUGGCUCACCAAGGCGACGCUCCGUAACUGGUCUGAGAGGAUGAUCAGUCCCUCUGGUUCCUGAGACACGGUCCAGACUCUUACGGGAGGCUGC
This 343-nucleotide ribosomal RNA is filed under the name uncultured bacterium. RNAcentral describes it as "bacterial SSU rRNA". It matches the Rfam family "Bacterial small subunit ribosomal RNA", at positions 8 to 352 of the family's 1533-position model. The record is from RNAcentral.